GUGCUCAUGUCACCAGCACAUAUACUAAAACUGGAACAAAUCAGAGAAUUAGCAUGGACUGUGCAAAAGGAUGACAAACACAUUUGUGAAACAUUCCAUAUUUCU
This is a small nuclear RNA of Hyaena hyaena (striped hyena), 105 nucleotides long. The record is from RefSeq and is a predicted model, not a curated record. NCBI's taxonomy places the organism in Eukaryota, Metazoa, Chordata, Mammalia, Carnivora, Hyaenidae.